This 498-nucleotide ribosomal RNA is filed under the name uncultured bacterium. RNAcentral's name for it is "partial 16S ribosomal RNA". It matches the Rfam family "Bacterial small subunit ribosomal RNA", at positions 30 to 523 of the family's 1533-position model. The record is from RNAcentral.
AUUGAACGCUGGCGGCAUGCCUUACACAUGCAAGUCGAACGGUAACAGGUCUUCGGAUGCUGACGAGUGGCGAACGGGUGAGUAAUACAUCGGAACGUGCCUAGUAGUGGGGGAUAACUACUCGAAAGAGUGGCUAAUACCGCAUGAUAUCUACGGAUGAAAGCAGGGGAUCGCAAGACCUUGUGCUACUAGCGCGGCCGAUGGCAGAUUAGGUAGUUGGUGGGAUAAAAGCUUACCAAGCCGACGAUCUGUAGAUGGUCUGAGAGGACGAUCAGCCACACUGGGACUGAGACACGGCCCAGACUCCUACGGGAGGCAGCAGUGGGGAAUUUUGGACAAUGGGCGCAAGCCUGAUCCAGCAAUGCCGCGUGCAGGAUGAAGGCCUUCGGGUUGUAAACUGCUUUUGUACGGAACGAAAAGCCCCGGGUUAAUACCCUGGGGUCAUGACGGUACCGUAAGAAUAAGCACCGGCUAACUACGUGCCAGCAGCCGCGGUAA